UUUUUAGCAUAAGUAUCUUCCAUGCAAAAUUUGGGACAUACUUAUCCUAAAA
This 52-nucleotide microRNA precursor is filed under the name Oryctolagus cuniculus (rabbit). RNAcentral describes it as "mir-1302 microRNA precursor family". It matches the Rfam family "mir-1302 microRNA precursor family". The record is from Rfam by way of RNAcentral. Lineage: Eukaryota; Metazoa; Chordata; Mammalia; Lagomorpha; Leporidae.